AAACCAACAGGGAUUGCCUUAGUAGCGGCGAGUGAAGCGGCAAAAGCUCAAAUUUGAAAUCUGGCGUAUUCUACGUCCGAGUUGUAAUUUGAAGAAGGAUACUUUGGGGUUGGCUCUUGUCUAUGUUUCUUGGAACAGAACGUCACAGAGGGUGAGAAUCCCGUGCGAUGAGAAGCCCAAUUCCGUGUAAAGUGCCUUCGAAGAGUCGAGUUGUUUGGGAAUGCAGCUCUAAGUGGGUGGUAAAUUCCAUCUAAAGCUAAAUAUUGGCGAGAGACCGAUAGCGAACAAGUACAGUGAUGGAAAGAUGAAAAGAACUUUGAAAAGAGAGUGAAAAAGUACGUGAAAUUGUUGAAAGGGAAGGGCUUGAGAUCAGACUUGGUAUUUUGUAUGUCUUGCUUUCGGGUGGGGCCUCUGCAGUUUACUGGGCCAGCAUCGGUUCGGGUGGUAGGACAAUUGCGAAGGAACGUGGCACUACUUCGGUGGUGUGUUAUAGCCUUUGUGGAUACUGCCUGUCUGGACCGAGGACUGCGUCAUUUGACUAGGAUGCUGGCAUAAUGAUCUUAAGUCGC
Molecule: ribosomal RNA, 569 nt
Filed under: Spathaspora sp.
Lineage: Eukaryota; Fungi; Ascomycota; Pichiomycetes; Serinales; Debaryomycetaceae
Description: partial large subunit ribosomal RNA
Rfam family: Eukaryotic large subunit ribosomal RNA
Source: RNAcentral